RNAcentral lists this ribosomal RNA (1168 nucleotides) under uncultured bacterium. Its description in RNAcentral is "bacterial SSU rRNA". It matches the Rfam family "Bacterial small subunit ribosomal RNA", at positions 249 to 1398 of the family's 1533-position model. The record is from RNAcentral.
UCGGCGGGGUAACGGCCCACCAAGGCAACGAUCAGUAGGGGUUCUUGAGAGGAAGGUCCCCCACAUUCGGAAACUGAGACACGGUCCAAACUCCUACGGGAGGCAGCAGUCGAGGAAAUAUUCGGUCAAUCGGACGGAAGUUCUGAACCAGCCAAGUAGCGUCGCAGGAAGAACGGCCUCUAUGGGUUCGUAAACUCGCUUUUCGUAUGGGGAUAAAGUUAGGGAACGUGUCCCUAUUUUGCAGGUACCAUACGAAUAAGGACCGGCUAAUUUCCGUGCCAGCCAGCCGCGGUAAUACGGAAGUCCCAGGCGUUUAUCCGGAUUUAUUUGGGUUUAAAGGGAGCCGUAGGCUGGAGAUUAAGUGUGUUGUGAAAUGUAGACGCUCAACGUCUGAAUUGCAGCGCAUACUGGUUUCCUUGAGUACGCACAACGUUGGCGGAAUUCGUCGUGUAGCGGUGAAAUGCUUAGAUAUGACGAAGAACUCCGAUUGCGAAGGCAGCUGACGGGAGCGCAACUGACGCUUAAGCUCGAAGGUGCGGGUAUCAAACAGGAUUAGAUACCCUGGUAGUCCGCACAGUAAACGAUGGAUGCCCGCUGUUGGUACCUGGUAUCAGCGGCUAAGCGAAAGCAUUAAGCAUCCCACCUGGGGAGUACGCUGGCAACGGUGAAACUCAAAGGAAUUGACGGGGGCCCGCACAAGCGGAGGAACAUGUGGUUUAAUUCGAUGAUACGCGAGGAACCUUACCCGGGCUUGAAUUGCAGAGGAAGGAUUUAGAGAUAAUGACGCCCUUCGGGGUCUCUGUGAAGGUGCUGCAUGGUUGUCGUCAGCUCGUGCCGUGAGGUGUCGGCUUAAGUGCCAUGACGAGCGCAACCCCUCUCUUCAGUUGCCAUCAGGUAAUGCUGGGCACUCUGGAGACACUGCCACCGUAAGGUGUGAGGAAGGUGGGGAUGACGUCAAAUCAGCACGGCCCUUACGUCCGGGGCUACACACGUGUUACAAUGGCCGGUACAGAGGGAUGGUGUAAUGCAAAUUGCAUCAAAUCUUGAAAGCCGGUCCCAGUUCGGACUGGGGUCUGCAACCCGACCCCACGAAGCUGGAUUCGCUAGUAAUCGCGCAUCAGCCAUGGCGCGGUGAAUACGUUCCCGGGCCUUGUACACACCGCCCGUC